This 253-nucleotide ribosomal RNA is filed under the name uncultured prokaryote. RNAcentral describes it as "partial 16S ribosomal RNA". It matches the Rfam family "Bacterial small subunit ribosomal RNA", at positions 525 to 777 of the family's 1533-position model. The record is from RNAcentral.
ACAGAGGUCCCAAGCGUUGUUCGGAUUCAUUGGGCGUAAAGGGUGCGUAGGUGGCGUCGUAAGUCGGGUGUGAAAUUUCGGAGCUCAACUCCGAAACUGCAUUCGAUACUGCGGUGCUUGAGGACUGGAGAGGAGACUGGAAUUUACGGUGUAGCAGUGAAAUGCGUAGAGAUCGUAAGGAAGACCAGUGGCGAAGGCGGGUCUCUGGACAGUUCCUGACACUGAGGCACGAAGGCCAGGGGAGCAAACGGGA